CUGACGAUUAUCAUCAUUGCCUUAACCAGUGAAGGACUUUAUUCUAUGGCGAUGAAGAGUCAGCUACAGUAUCUGGGUUUGUGUGGAAUUCUGCUGCAUCUUACAUGUGGAGAUGAAGUGAUUUCCAUCAGUAAGCAUCUGAAGGAGAAUGUUACGCUGCAUUGUGACACACCUGGCAGGAUUGUAGCAAGAAUCAGAUGGCUAAAGGAUGGAAUCCAGGGGUUUACAUAUAGCUCACAAUUGCCCAACAGAACCAAAACAAACUUCACUUCAAAAAGGAUAAGUGUUGAUCCUGUUAUUAUGAUGCUGCAUAUAUCUGAUGUGAAUGUAUUUGAUGAGGGAAUAUACAUGUGUGAAGUAAAAAGCUCUUCAGGACUCAUGAGGACAAGAACAUGGAACGUAACCAUUCUUCAACUUCAACCAACUUCAGUCUCACCAGAUCCCUUCCCAUUGGUAUACAUCAUCACUGCUACCAUAUCAGGGAUAGUCCUCAUCAUCAUCUGUACAUGUAUAUGUAUUUACAG
Sardina pilchardus (European sardine) is the source of this 524-nucleotide long non-coding RNA. RefSeq lists it as uncharacterized. NCBI's taxonomy places the organism in Eukaryota, Metazoa, Chordata, Actinopteri, Clupeiformes, Clupeidae. The transcript is spliced from 3 exons. The record is from RefSeq and is a predicted model, not a curated record.